CAGCGAUUUACAAUUGAGUUGCAGCUCAAACAAAGGCUAUGGCUGGUUGGCAUGCUCAAGGUGUUGAGUUGUUGAACAUUCUGCCAGGGGAUUGAACGCCUCUAUGCAGAAUGGAUCAUAUAGCUCUUGUUCUGCUGGCAGUCUCUAAUUGAAGCUUUCAACUUUGUUUGUGCGCAACCCCUGCUUUCCUGUUGUUCCGCAGUUGAAGCUGCUUGUUGUUGUUGUUGCUUGUCAUAUUUAGUGUUUGU
Spinacia oleracea (spinach) is the source of this 248-nucleotide long non-coding RNA. RefSeq lists it as uncharacterized. The record is from RefSeq and is a predicted model, not a curated record. The transcript is spliced from 3 exons. Lineage: Eukaryota; Viridiplantae; Streptophyta; Magnoliopsida; Caryophyllales; Amaranthaceae.